Molecule: ribosomal RNA, 680 nt
Filed under: Lactobacillus crispatus
Lineage: Bacteria; Bacillati; Bacillota; Bacilli; Lactobacillales; Lactobacillaceae
Description: bacterial SSU rRNA
Rfam family: Bacterial small subunit ribosomal RNA
Source: RNAcentral
GCAGUCGAGCGAGCGGAACUAACAGAUUUACUUCGGUAAUGACGUUAGGAAAGCGAGCGGCGGAUGGGUGAGUAACACGUGGGGAACCUGCCCCAUAGUCUGGGAUACCACUUGGAAACAGGUGCUAAUACCGGAUAAGAAAGCAGAUCGCAUGAUCAGCUUUUAAAAGGCGGCGUAAGCUGUCGCUAUGGGAUGGCCCCGCGGUGCAUUAGCUAGUUGGUAAGGUAAAGGCUUACCAAGGCGAUGAUGCAUAGCCGAGUUGAGAGACUGAUCGGCCACAUUGGGACUGAGACACGGCCCAAACUCCUACGGGAGGCAGCAGUAGGGAAUCUUCCACAAUGGACGCAAGUCUGAUGGAGCAACGCCGCGUGAGUGAAGAAGGUUUUCGGAUCGUAAAGCUCUGUUGUUGGUGAAGAAGGAUAGAGGUAGUAACUGGCCUUUAUUUGACGGUAAUCAACCAGAAAGUCACGGCUAACUACGUGCCAGCAGCCGCGGUAAUACGUAGGUGGCAAGCGUUGUCCGGAUUUAUUGGGCGUAAAGCGAGCGCAGGCGGAAGAAUAAGUCUGAUGUGAAAGCCCUCGGCUUAACCGAGGAACUGCAUCGGAAACUGUUUUUCUUGAGUGCAGAAGAGGAGAGUGGAACUCCAUGUGUAGCGGUGGAAUGCGUAGAUAUAUGGAAGA